AGGAAAAGAAACCAACAGGGAUUGCCUCAGUAACGGCGAGUGAAGCGGCAUAAGCUCAAAUUUGAAAUCUGGCUCUUUCGGGGUCCGAAUUGUAAUUUGUAGAAGAUGCUUCGAGUGUGGUUCCGGUCUAAGUUCCUUGGAACAGGACGUCAUAGAGGGUGAGAAUCCCGUAUGUGACUGGAUACCUUCAUUCAUGUGAAGCUCUUUCGACGAGUCGAGUUGUUUGGGAAUGCAGCUCAAAAUGGGUGGUAAAUUUCAUCUAAAGCUAAAUAUUGGCCAGAGACCGAUAGCGCACAAGUAGAGUGAUCGAAAGAUGAAAAGCACUUUGGAAAGAGAGUUAAACAGUACGUGAAAUUGUUGAAAGGGAAGCGCUUGCAAUCAGACUUGCGCCUAGUUGAUCAUCCAGGCUUCUGUCUGGUGCACUCAAUUAGGCUCAGGCCAGCAUCGGUUUGGGUGGUUGGAUAAAGGCCUUGGGAAUGUAGCCCUCUUCGGGGGGUGUUAUAGCCCUCGGUGCAAUGCAGCCUACCUGGACCGAGGACCGCGCUUCGGCUAGGAUGCUGGCGUAAUGG
RNAcentral lists this ribosomal RNA (569 nucleotides) under Lambertella sp. FC-2645. RNAcentral describes it as "eukaryotic LSU rRNA". It matches the Rfam family "Eukaryotic large subunit ribosomal RNA", at positions 54 to 637 of the family's 3401-position model. Lineage: Eukaryota; Fungi; Ascomycota; Leotiomycetes; Helotiales; Rutstroemiaceae. The record is from RNAcentral.